This 378-nucleotide unclassified non-coding RNA is filed under the name uncultured Chlamydiales bacterium. RNAcentral's name for it is "contains 16S-23S intergenic spacer region". The record is from RNAcentral. Lineage: Bacteria; Pseudomonadati; Chlamydiota; Chlamydiia; Chlamydiales.
UCCCCGUUCUCCUGGGCAGUCUCUCCAGAGUUCUCGGCUUGACCCGUUAGUAACUGAAGACAGGGGUUGCGCUCGUUGCUGGACUUAACCAAACACCUCACGGCACGAGCUGACGACAGCCAUGCAGCACCUAUAUAGAGACCCUUUCGGGAAAUAUUGUCUCCAAUAUCAUCCUCUACAUUUCGAGCCCAGGUAAGGUUCUUCGCGUUGCAUCGAAUUAAACCACAUGCUCCACUGCUUGUGCGGGCCCCCGUCAAUUCUUUUGAGUUUCACCCUUGCGAGCGUACUCCCCAGGCGGCAUACUUAAUGCGUUAGCUCCGGUACAGAAAGGGUUGAGCCCUCCUACACCUAGUAUGCAUCGUUUAAGGCAAGGACUAC